GAUGAACGCUGGCGGCGUGCCUAAUACAUGCAAGUCGAGCGAACAGACGAGGAGCUUGCUCCUCUGACGUUAGCGGCGGACGGGUGAGUAACACGUGGAUAACCUACCUAUAAGACUGGGAUAACUUCGGGAAACCGGAGCUAAUACCGGAUAAUAUAUUGAACCGCAUGGUUCAAUAGUGAAAGACGGUUUUGCUGUCACAUAUAGAUGGAUCCGCGCCGCAUUAGCUAGUUGGUAAGGUAACGGCUUACCAAGGCGACGAUGCGUAGCCGACCUGAGAGGGUGAUCGGCAACACUGACACUGAGACACGGUACAGACUCCUACGGGAGGCAGCAGUAGGGAAUCUUCCGCAAUGGGCGAAAGCCUGACGGAGCAACGCCGCGUGAGUGAUGAAGGUCUUCGGAUCGUACAACUCUGUUAUUAGGGAAGAACAAAUGUGUAAGUAACUAUGCACGUCUUGACGGUACCUAAUCAGAAAGCCACGGCUAACUACGUG
Molecule: ribosomal RNA, 497 nt
Filed under: uncultured bacterium
Lineage: Bacteria
Description: partial 16S ribosomal RNA
Rfam family: Bacterial small subunit ribosomal RNA
Source: RNAcentral